GACGAACGCUGGCGGCGUGCUUAACACAUGCAAGUCGAACGGAAAGGCCCUGCUUUUGUGGGGUUCUCGAGUGGCGAACGGGUGAGUAACACGUGAGUAACCUGCCCUUGACUUUGGGAUAACUUCAGGAAACUGGGGCUAAUACCGGAUAGGAUCUCCUGCUGCAUGGUGGGGGUUGGAACGUUUCGGCGGUUGGGGAUGGACUCGCGGCUUAUCGGCUUGUUGGUGGGGUAGUGGCUUACCAAGGCUUUGACGGGUAGCCGGCCUGAGAGGGUGACCGGCCACAUUGGGACUGAGAUACGGCCCAGACUCCUACGGGAGGCAGCAGUGGGGAAUAUUGCACAAUGGGCGGAAGCCUGAUGCAGAAACGCCGCGUGCGGGAUGACGGCCUUCGGGUUGUAAACCGCUUUCGCCUGUGACGAAGCGUGAGUGACGGUAAUGGGUAAAGAAGCACCGGCUAACUACGUG
RNAcentral lists this ribosomal RNA (468 nucleotides) under uncultured bacterium. RNAcentral's name for it is "partial 16S ribosomal RNA". It matches the Rfam family "Bacterial small subunit ribosomal RNA", at positions 28 to 507 of the family's 1533-position model. The record is from RNAcentral.